GCGUAGGGAUGAAGGCUCUGGGCUGUAAACCUCUUUUAUCAAAGAAGAAGAUCUGACGGUACUUGAUGAAUAAGCCACGGCUAAUUCCGUGCCAGCAGCCGCGGUAAUACGGGAGUGGCAAGCGUUAUCCGGAAUUAUUGGGCGUAAAGCGUCCGCAGGCGGUCUUGUAAGUCUGUCGUUAAAGCGUGGAGCUUAACUCCAUUUGAGCGAUGGAAACUGCAAGACUAGAGUGUGGUAGGGGCAGAGGGAAUUCCCGGUGUAGCGGUGAAAUGCGUAGAUAUCGGGAAGAACACCAGUGGCGAAGGCGCUCUGCUGGGCCAUAACUGACGCUCAUGGACGAAAGCCAGGGGAGCGAAAGGGAUUAGAUACCCCUGUAGUCCUGGCCGUAAACGAUGAACACUAGGUGUCGGGGGAAUCGACCCCCUCGGUGUCGUAGCCAACGCGUUAAGUGUUCCGCCUGGGGAGUACGCACGCAAGUGUGAAACUCAAAGGAAUUGACGGGGGCCCGCACAAGCGGUGGAGUAUGUGGUUUAAUUCGAUGCAACGCGAAGAACCUUACCAGGGUUUGACAUCCUGCGAAUCCCUUGGAAACGAGGGAGUGGCUUCGGGAGCGCAGUGACAGGUGGUG
Molecule: ribosomal RNA, 628 nt
Filed under: uncultured bacterium
Lineage: Bacteria
Description: bacterial SSU rRNA
Rfam family: Bacterial small subunit ribosomal RNA
Source: RNAcentral